RNAcentral lists this transfer RNA (74 nucleotides) under Enterobacteriaceae endosymbiont of Macroplea appendiculata. It matches the Rfam family "tRNA". From Rfam's summary of the family: Transfer RNA (tRNA) molecules are approximately 80 nucleotides in length. Their secondary structure includes four short double-helical elements and three loops (D, anti-codon, and T loops). Further hydrogen bonds mediate the characteristic L-shaped molecular structure. tRNAs have two regions of fundamental functional importance: the anti-codon, which is responsible for specific mRNA codon recognition, and the 3' end, to which the tRNAs corresponding amino acid is attached (by aminoacyl-tRNA synthetases). tRNAs cope with the degeneracy of the genetic code in two manners: having more than one tRNA (with a specific anti-codon) for a particular amino acid; and 'wobble' base-pairing, i.e. permitting non-standard base-pairing at the 3rd anti-codon position. The record is from Rfam by way of RNAcentral. RNAcentral also lists the same sequence under 1 other name. Lineage: Bacteria; Pseudomonadati; Pseudomonadota; Gammaproteobacteria; Enterobacterales; Enterobacteriaceae.
GCGCUCUUAGCUCAGCAGGAUAGAGCAAUAGCCUUCUAAGCUAUUGGUCACAGGUUCGAAUCCUGUAGAGCGCA